RNAcentral lists this ribosomal RNA (221 nucleotides) under uncultured bacterium. RNAcentral's name for it is "partial 16S ribosomal RNA". It matches the Rfam family "Bacterial small subunit ribosomal RNA", at positions 1280 to 1500 of the family's 1533-position model. The record is from RNAcentral.
GGACAUCCCUAGUUCGGAUUGUAGGCUGAAACCCGCCUACAUGAAGCUGGAAUUGCUAGUAAUCAUAGGUCAGCAUACUAUGGUGAAUACGUUCCCGGGCCUUGUACACACCGCCCGUCACACCAUGGGAGUCAGUAACGCCCGAAGUCAGUGACCUAACCGAAAGGGAGGAGCUGCCGAAGGCGGGACGGAUGACUGGGGUGAAGUCGUAACAAGGUACC